GAUGAACGCUGGCGGCGUGCCUAAUACAUGCAAGUCGAGCGAACGGACGAGAAGCUUGUUUCUCUUAUGUUAGCGGCGGACGGGUGAGUAACACGUGGAUAACCUACCUAUAAGACGGGGAUAACUUCGGGAAACCGGAGCUAAUACCGGAUAAUAAUUUGAACCGCAUGGUUCAAAAGUGAAAGACGGUAUUGCUUUCACUUAUAGAUAGACCCACGCUUCAUAAGCUAGUUGGGAAGGUAACGGCUUACAAAGGCAAGAUAGAUAAGCCGACCUGAGAGGGGGACCGGCCACAUUGGAACGGAGACAGGCUCCAGACCCCUAGGGGAGGCAGCAGUAGGGAAUCUUGGGCAAUGGGCGAAGGCCUGACGGGGCACCGCCGCGUGAGUGAUGAAGUUCUCGGGUCCGUAAAACUCUGUUAUUAGGGAAGACCAUAUGCGUAAUUAACUGUGCAUCUAUUGACGGUACCUAAUCAGAAAGCCACGGCUAACUACGUG
Molecule: ribosomal RNA, 497 nt
Filed under: uncultured bacterium
Lineage: Bacteria
Description: partial 16S ribosomal RNA
Rfam family: Bacterial small subunit ribosomal RNA
Source: RNAcentral